UUAGGUGUAGUUUAAAGAAAAUGUUAGCUUGUCAUGCUAUAGAUAUUUGUUUCACUUAAU
RNAcentral lists this transfer RNA (60 nucleotides) under Scorpiops tibetanus. RNAcentral's name for it is "tRNA-Asp". Lineage: Eukaryota; Metazoa; Arthropoda; Arachnida; Scorpiones; Euscorpiidae. The record is from RNAcentral.